RNAcentral lists this long non-coding RNA (207 nucleotides) under Elaeis guineensis (African oil palm). RNAcentral's name for it is "long non-coding RNA (EGUI_LNC009104)". The record is from RNAcentral. Lineage: Eukaryota; Viridiplantae; Streptophyta; Magnoliopsida; Arecales; Arecaceae.
CAGGGUAUGUUCACCACUCUUCCCAUAAGUUUGGGAAGUUAGGCCCUAAAGCUAAUAAAUGUGUGUUUAUUAGAUAUUCUUGACAUUCUAAGGGCUAUGUAAUGUAUGGGGAACGUCCUAAUGGAGGCCAACUGAAAUAGAAUCCCAUGAUAUUGACUAUCGAAAAGAUGACUUUCCUAGUAUUGGUGAGGUUAAGGAAAGCCUUGA